AAAAAAGUGAUUUGUUAGGCAAGCCUGUCAAAGUAAUGGGCUGGACUUACAGCAAAAUAAAAGUGACUGGAUUUCUUCCUUGUCAUUUCCUCCGUGAAUUUUGAGGCUACAAUGCUUAGUGGACAAAUGUUGAACGGUGCCUAAAUUGGCAAGCUUGAAUUGAGGAUUUUAGGAAGAAAGACAGGUAUCUAUAUGAAUAUGAAUUGAGGAUUUCAGACUCUGAACAAACGAAAAAUAGACAAAGGAAUGAUUAUAUGGAACUUGCAGGCCAAGUUCAAGGGCGGAAUUAUGGUAUAAUUCUCGUGCCUAGGACGUGUUCGAUAAUAUGUCCUCCAAGGAACGUGCAUCCCACCUGGUGUAAUCGGAUCUGUAAGUUUUAUGCUAUGCAGUUCUAUUUAUUUUCAAUUUUUUUUUUGAAUUUUCAGAAUUAAUAUGAAGAAAAACGUCAUUUAUUUCCAAAACAGAACCAUUAUCAAGUUUCAUAAUUUCUUGUACUUGUAAACUUUGGUCUUUGAGAAAUAUUUUAGUUUUAGUUUAGUUUAGUUUUAUUUUUUUCCCCAUAAGGUAGAGAUGAGAUGAGAAACCUCAUUCAUUAAACACCAAAAAGUAUUUUAAAGUAUGCUGGCGGUCUUCCGUUAGUCUCAAGGUUUUGGGCUCAUUUUUUGUUUGGUAGAACCAUAGCUGAACGGGAAAGUGCACUACAAUGACUAUAUAGAGAUCCUGAAAGUGAGAUUCUUGAUGCACUUCAAAUGAGUUUUGAUGGGUCAAAAGGAAUAGAGAAGAAAAUAUUUCUCGCUAUUGUGUGUUUCUAUGAA
Molecule: long non-coding RNA, 815 nt
Filed under: Citrus sinensis (sweet orange)
Lineage: Eukaryota; Viridiplantae; Streptophyta; Magnoliopsida; Sapindales; Rutaceae
Description: long non-coding RNA (CSIN_LNC005628)
Source: RNAcentral